Molecule: long non-coding RNA, 3246 nt
Organism: Hevea brasiliensis (rubber tree)
Lineage: Eukaryota; Viridiplantae; Streptophyta; Magnoliopsida; Malpighiales; Euphorbiaceae
Exons: 2
Source: RefSeq, a predicted model, not a curated record
CCCACGUGUACACAAUUCUUCUUCAAUAAAAUUUUCAACUAACCACUUAGAAGGUCCAAAUACCUUGUCAAUUAGAUGCAUCCCUUCAACAGCAAAUAUGUAAGUGUGCAGGACAUAUGACGAAAGAGCAGCAAUAUAUGAAACCCCCUACUAUAACUGCUGACCUGAAAUUGGUGCCGAAUAUUUACUGAAUCCAUCUAAGUGGCUCUCUUCCUAGAUUUCUCCUUCCAUUUGAUUAGAAAUCCGGAAAAUUGUUGGCCCAUACACUCGGCUGCCAAAUAUCCAAGGCCAAUAAUGAAGGUAUUGCCCAAAGUCUUAUGCUCAUGGAGUAACUAUAUGCAAAUUGCCAAAGAAACUGCCAUCCAAGGUGAAGAUUUGUCGUAGUUGAUCCGCAACAAUUGCCAUGCUUCCAUAAACUUCAGUUCUCCUUGGUCAAUGAGUUUCACAUUUUCUCCACCGAUGAAAGCAUGGAGAUGUGAAAUAACAAGAAAUAAACAUAUUAUAUUAGCCACUUCCAUUGAGAACGCAACACCAGUAGCAAUUCCCCACAAUCCAAUCCGCCAAUAACAAGAAAAUCCCUCCCUGAAGCCACUUCCAAUAAUGGAUAUCAUAUUUAAUGGCAGCAACAACCAUGAAUUAGAAAGAGCUUGACCUUGUCGGCACAGUAGACUCCUGCUUACAUGCCAAUGGUGCUGCAAUAGGAAUGAUGCAAAUCUUUGAAUUAGUUGUGACUUACUCCUCCCGUUAAUAAUAAGAACAAUGCAGCUACAAACUCCAUAAUUUGUGAUAUGCCCUAUCGCUGAUGGAAGAGGGCUUCGAGUUUUAUCUGGAGUCAUUAGAGUUGGUGCUUUAAAACUUUUUGGGCUGGAAAUUUCUUCGGGAGGUCUGAUCAAAUGACUCAACCAUUUCAGAUGACCCAUUGAUCCUUGUCCAGAAAAUGGGCUACUAGGAAGAGCUGGGCCGGCUAUCUUUGGUCCAAUAUCAAAUUCCCAUCUCACCUUCUUCCCCAUUGCAACUCCAGAAUUUGGGCGUUAAAUCUGUUCCAUUCCCCAAAUUGAACCUGUUUCUUUACUUUUCCUUGCCAUCUGGGACACCUCUACUCGGCAUGCUUCAAGCUAGAGCUCACAAUCCCUCUGUGCUAUCUUAGAGACGAAACCAUCGCCAUCCUCAGUCACUGGUGCUCGCUGAUGUGUGGUUGCGAGAGGUAUGGAAGAAGUUUGAACGACUUCCCUCCCAUACUCCAACAAUUCGGAUGUGAACUGGUCCCAAGACAGAAGAGUUUGCUGUUGUCGGAGCUCGCAAAACUAUUGGAGAAGAGCUCCCUCCAUGCUAUUCCAAACAAAAUAAAUUUUAACAACCUCUGUGGUUUUAUGGGUGUCAAAAGUAUUUCUCAGCCUGGACAAUCCAUCCCUUUGGGUCCACUCCUUUGAAUGUGGGAAUCUGGACCUUCGAUAUUGUUAAUGGAGUUUCAUUACAGAGCAAAGCUAUGGUUGUGGGUCUGGUGGCAGAAGAAUCAACAAUGGUGUGGCAUGUUGAGUUGGGUUGGAAAUUUUUACCUUGUCUGCCGCUGCGUUGCCUUGAAUCAAAGAGAUAAGCAUAUUCUCAAUUCUUUUGAAUCUCUGCUCUUGUUCUACUCUUAUUACUGUGAGACCUUUCAUUUUGAUAAGGUUCCUCCCUAUCUGCGCAACUCUGUCUUCUAUCUUUUCCAUUCUAUUUUCCAUUGUGUAUUUGGGAUCCAGGGGUUGAAGGGAAAAAAGUCUGUAUUGAUUUAGCAAUGGCAAAAUGCCUUUUACAACUACUGUUUCUCUAUUGCAGGAUCUCUCUCUUCCCUCUCUAAUUCUUCAUCCAUUAACACAGGAAUGGAAACUAACGAAAAGAACAAAGAAACAGAAGUUAAAUGGUUGAUAAACAACCCCCAUGACUCGUUCCCGUCCUAGCAGAGCUAGUCCCAGCUCAUAGCUGCAUAACUGAAGAAAAAUAUUGCCUGCCUCCUUCCUUCUAUCAUAUGCUUAUUUAUAAUCGAAAUAUGUUGCCUUCAUUCCCAUGUGACCUCACCCCUAAAAUUCUCUCCAAUGAUUUCCUCUAGCUGUCCAAUUCCAGAACUUCAUAUGGUUCCUGUAAAAUAUUCUUGAUGAGUUUGGGCCUUGAUUCAUUCCUCCUGGGCCUGUUGAUAUGCUUCAUGCUUUUCUAAUGGUGUAAGAGGUUUUCUGGAAUUGAUUUUCAAAGACCUCAUUGAUACUGUUGUGCUUUGUAAGUUGAAUGUAAAUAUAUAAAUGACAGAGUUCAAAAAUGGAGAGUGGGGACUGGGGACCCGAGGGUGCAAACAAGAUGCGAAAGACAGAACUGGUUUUUGGAUUCUCAGUUCCCCAGCAAGGAAUAACUUUCUUAAUAAUUUGCAGUUGAUAAUUUUAGAUCCCUAAGUAGAUCAAUUUCUGCCGUUCAGCUGCAAAAACUCUCUUGAAUGCUCUUAAUGAUCUGGUAUUGUUCAAAAUUGGGCAUAUGGGGACUUUGGGCUAAUUUGGCGCUGUGCUUCAUGAGGCUUUCUGAGGUUCUUUUCCAAAUAGCCAAUGUUCCUAAAACCAGACUUGUUAGUGAACUGGUUAGCUGACACCAUCUGACUGGUUCAAUUCAACUGGUUUGAUUUGGAAAGAAAUAAGUCGAAUCAAAUGUAAUAAAAGAGCAGGAAGAAGACUGUACAUGUGAUAGAAUUUUGAGUAAAAGAGAAUUCCCAGAGAAUCUAAUGAUUGCCAGCAUUGAAAGUGCUGGUUUUGAGCACUGCCUAAUCUUGAGAUAGCAUGAUUUCAAAUUUGCCAAGGCGAUUGAUGGCUAGGAAAAAUUUGCACUGACAAGGCAGUAACUCUCAGUACAAUGCUUCUGAUAUAUUGCCCCCUUGUGAUCUUUGGUAUAUGAACAGAGAUGGAUAUCAUCGUGCAAUCUGCUGAGUAUAAAUGCUGGGUAAUCGUCUUUGUCCAUACUUGAUGUGGAAUCAGAUGGCUCUGUUUGGUCAUUUCAAAAUUAAGGGAUUUUAUGGAGAUAGAAUGGGUGUAAAAAUUGAAAGGCUUUGCAUAAAGCAUUCCUUAUCUGCAGGGAUUGUCUCCAACUGAACUCUUAUAUGCCCAAUGUGAUUAAAUCAAAGAUAAAGAAUUGCUCCCUUGGUGGACAGGAAAGCCUGGCUAUCCUCUCUGCGCCAGUAAAUUGAAAACAAUUAGCUUGAUAAUGAAAAGUAGUAUUACUAUUUGAUUUAAA